CCAAGUUUAGAAUCUGCAAGGGUUAUAACAUGGUGCAUGGCCGUUCUUAGUUGGUGGAGCGAUUUGUCUGGUUAAUUCCGAUAACGAACGAGACCUCAGCCUGCUAACUAGCUACGCGGAGGCAUCCCUCCGCGGCCAGCUUCUUAGAGGGACUAUGGCCGUUUAGGCCACGGAAGUUUGAGGCAAUAACAAGUCUAUGAUGCCCUUAAAUGUUUUGG
Molecule: ribosomal RNA, 218 nt
Filed under: Musa acuminata subsp. malaccensis (wild Malaysian banana)
Lineage: Eukaryota; Viridiplantae; Streptophyta; Magnoliopsida; Zingiberales; Musaceae
Description: Eukaryotic small subunit ribosomal RNA
Rfam family: Eukaryotic small subunit ribosomal RNA
Source: Rfam by way of RNAcentral